UUUAAUAAAUAAAUAAUUUGAUAGAGAUAUAUAUAUGUAGAAUAUAAUUAAUAUAUUAGAACCUUACUUUUAUGAAGAGGACAAUAAUCAAACAAUUUAGCAUUGAGGAAUAUUUCUUGAGCUCGUCAGUCAUAAACAAAAACGGCAGAAGCUGGAGGGAAGCCCAAAGUAUCGAAUGCCAGAGAAACAUUAGACAUCCUUGCCAAAAUAUCCAAAUUGUUGAACACCGGCUUGGACACAGAUACCCUAGCCCUGUGUGUCAGAUUGUGUGAGAAUGGCAUCAAUCCUGAGGCUUUGGCGCUGGUUAUUCAAGAGUUGAGGCGAGAAUCGGCUGCAAUUAAAGCAUCUGAGUCAUCCAAUUUAUCAUGAAAAAAGGAGAAUGCUAAAAUACCAGAGAAAUAUAUUAUCAAAAGCCUCUCUUGUGUAUGUGGUACGGAUGCAAAGGAUUGCCUGAAAAGAAUCAUGCGGCGAAUCUUGACCGACGUGGUUUUAUAACUGUUAAGGCCAAAGAGGAGAAAAGUCUGCUUUCAAGGGGCUUUCAAAGGUGCAGACCAUGAUAUGCAAAGCUGUACAGAAGAACAAUGGGUGGAUGGAGGCUUCAGAUAACAUCGAAAAAAGCAGCAGCAGAAAGAGUCGGGGUAGAAAGCAGAGAGAACAAAACUAAAUGCUAGGAUAUUUCAAGGAGGUGACAACUGCGUUUCUGUGGCCUGUGAAUUUUCUGGAAUUUACUGUAUUUUUAUGGCAGAAUUUUGUAGCUACGUUUCCUCGUUGGAAUUUGGCAUGCUGAACAGCUGUAUAGAUGUUUUAUUCAUUUUUGGAAAAUCACCUUGGAUUAUCCAGCUUUUUUGCUACACUGUAUCAGCCUCUGUAUACCAAACUGUGUGCUAAUUCCCCCUCCCUCCCCCCACCCCCCGCAACCAGUUCAUCACCUAUUUUCUGAUGGAAAAAAGAGACUUACAAGAAACUGAAAUUAAAAACUGUGACAUCGUUAUUAUCCUCAUCUUCAGUUAAGGGCAGGCAGCUGAGGUAAAAAUUUUCUUUUAUGUUUUAUGGGAUAGAGCAUAUUUUUGCAGUCACCUUAAUUUUAAAAAAA
This is a long non-coding RNA of Pomacea canaliculata, 1093 nucleotides long. RefSeq lists it as uncharacterized. The transcript has 5 exons. Lineage: Eukaryota; Metazoa; Mollusca; Gastropoda; Architaenioglossa; Ampullariidae. The record is from RefSeq and is a predicted model, not a curated record.